ACUCCUACGGGAGGCAGCAGUGGGGAAUUUUGGACAAUGGGGGCAACCCUGAUCCAGCCAUGCCGCGUGAGUGAAGAAGGCCUUCGGGUUGUAAAGCUCUUUCGGCCGGAACGAAAUCGCGUACGUGAAUAACGUGCGUGGAUGACGGUACUGGAAGAAGAAGCACCGGCUAACUACGUGCCAGCAGCCGCGGUAAUACGUAGGGUGCGAGCGUUAGUCGGAAUUACUGGGCGUAAAGCGUGCGUAGGCGGUUCUGCAAGUCAGAUGUGAAAUCCCCGGGCUUAACCUGGGAACUGCGUUUGAAACUACGGAGCUAGAGUACGGCAGAGGGGGGUGGAAUUCCACGUGUAGCAGUGAAAUGCGUAGAUAUGUGGAGGAACACCGAUGGCGAAGGCAACCCCCUGGGCCGAUACUGACGCUGAGGCACGAAAGCGUGGGGAGCAAACAGGAUUAGAUACCCUGGUAGUCCACGCCCUAAACUAUGUCAACUAGUUGUCGGGAAAGCAAUUUCUUGGUAACGAAGCUAACGCGUGAAGUUGACCGCCUGGGGAGUACGGUCGCAAGAUUAAAACUCAAAUGAAUUGACGG
RNAcentral lists this ribosomal RNA (588 nucleotides) under uncultured Rhodocyclaceae bacterium. RNAcentral's name for it is "bacterial SSU rRNA". It matches the Rfam family "Bacterial small subunit ribosomal RNA", at positions 335 to 916 of the family's 1533-position model. The record is from RNAcentral. Lineage: Bacteria; Pseudomonadati; Pseudomonadota; Betaproteobacteria; Rhodocyclales; Rhodocyclaceae.